This 267-nucleotide ribosomal RNA is filed under the name uncultured bacterium. Its description in RNAcentral is "partial 16S ribosomal RNA". It matches the Rfam family "Bacterial small subunit ribosomal RNA", at positions 793 to 1055 of the family's 1533-position model. The record is from RNAcentral.
GUCCUAGCCCUAAACGAUGCUCAUUAGAUGUGGGAGGUAUCGACCCCUUCCGCGUCGAAGCUAACGCAUUAAAUGAGCCGCCUGGGGAGUACGGCCGCAAGGUUGAAACUCAAAGGAAUUGACGGGGGCCCGCACAAGCGGUGGAGCAUGUGGUUUAAUUCGACGCAACGCGAAGAACCUUACCUGGGCUUGAACUACUCGUGGUAGUUCGCUGGAAACAGUGGACGACCCGCAAGGGAGCGAGCAGAGGUGCUGCAUGGUUGUCGU